UGCCCAGCAACUCCUAUCCCUACCUCCUCGUGGUACUGGCCGGGGUACGAGUCACUUUGGGGAAGAUCGGGUAACCAACCCCGGUGGGAACUUUGGUCGUAUGCUGACAGGGAAGG
RNAcentral lists this ribozyme (116 nucleotides) under Aedes aegypti (yellow fever mosquito). RNAcentral describes it as "drz-agam-1 ribozyme". It matches the Rfam family "drz-agam-1 ribozyme". The record is from Rfam by way of RNAcentral. Lineage: Eukaryota; Metazoa; Arthropoda; Insecta; Diptera; Culicidae.